This 483-nucleotide ribosomal RNA is filed under the name uncultured bacterium. Its description in RNAcentral is "bacterial SSU rRNA". It matches the Rfam family "Bacterial small subunit ribosomal RNA", at positions 30 to 511 of the family's 1533-position model. The record is from RNAcentral.
AUUGAACGCUGGCGGCAUGCUUACACAUGCAAGUCGAACGGUAACAGGUCUUCGGAUGCUGACGAGUGGCGAACGGGUGAGUAAUGCAUCGGAACGUGCCCAGUCGUGGGGGAUAACGCAGCGAAAGCUGUGCUAAUACCGCAUACGAUCUAUGGAUGAAAGCGGGGGAUCGCAAGACCUCGCGCGAUUGGAGCGGCCGAUGUCAGAUUAGCUAGUUGGUGGGGUAAAGGCCCACCAAGGCGACGAUCUGUAGCUGGUCUGAGAGGACGACCAGCCACACUGGGACUGAGACACGGCCCAGACUCCUACGGGAGGCAGCAGUGGGGAAUUUUGGACAAUGGGCGCAAGCCUGAUCCAGCAAUGCCGCGUGCAGGAANAAGGCCUUCGGUUGUAAACUGCUUUGUACGGAACGAAAAGGUCUGGGUUAAUACCCUGGGCUCAUGACGGUACCGUAAGAAUAAGCACCGGCUAACUACGUGCCAG